GCGGGGGGGGGGCACGGGGGGCCUACGGGAGGCAGCAGUGAGGAAUCUUCCACAAUGGGGGCAACCCUGAUGGAGCAACGCCGCGUGCA
This 89-nucleotide ribosomal RNA is filed under the name uncultured bacterium. Its description in RNAcentral is "partial 16S ribosomal RNA". The record is from RNAcentral.